RNAcentral lists this small RNA (790 nucleotides) under Schizosaccharomyces pombe (fission yeast). Its description in RNAcentral is "small heterochromatic RNA precursor". Lineage: Eukaryota; Fungi; Ascomycota; Schizosaccharomycetes; Schizosaccharomycetales; Schizosaccharomycetaceae. The record is from RNAcentral.
UUUUUUUUUUUUUUUUUUUUUUUUUUUUUUUGCCAAGAUUCAGGACUUGUUGAAAGAGUUAUUACAACUACCACUAUAACUAUAACUACNACUAUAACUACNACGAUAAGAACUAUCACUACUCUGAAGACAACGAUGNGUUUUCUCAAGAUGAUAACGGAUCUAGCUUCNCCAUCAAUAAGUAUGAGACAAAGGAGUCCAUCUUUGAUGAAACAUCCAUUUUCCUGNUGNACAUUUUUGCAGGACAACUAGCCUGAGCACAAGANACAUGGNGNACUANACCUUGNGCGGAAUGNCUACUUCAAAACUUGCAUCUUUAUAUCUGAUAUAUAGAGAUAUAGAGAUAUAGAGAUAUAGAGAGAGGNUGAUGAUUUAUAAACACAAACGAUAAGACUUGNAACAUGAAGUUUAUCGAAAAAGUCAAUCUUUAAAUUCCUUUCUGAACCUCUCUGNUAUGNCAGUGCUUCGGNACCAUGCUUUUAGUGNGGNCAUUUAAAGGCAUAGCGAUGAUAGUUCUAAAGUUACUGNAUUGAUCAAUUGGAAGAACAUCCAAAUAAAAAAAAGCAUGCAAAAUGCUAGUAUUAUCAGUAACUGCNAAUAAAAAAAGAUAACNAAAAUUUACAGGAUCAUCGAGAAGAGUAGAUACUGAUAAUAUUGAGAUCCACAGCACUCNACAACAGGUCUUGGGAUUUAUUUAGCCAUUUGCUUAACUUACUGNCUCAACAAUAUUGUUGUUUGGGCAUCGCCAUNAAUAUAUGACCUAGAAGUAAAANUCGNGGNGUCGAAACAA